Molecule: long non-coding RNA, 1440 nt
Organism: Pogonomyrmex barbatus (red harvester ant)
Lineage: Eukaryota; Metazoa; Arthropoda; Insecta; Hymenoptera; Formicidae
Source: RefSeq, a predicted model, not a curated record
GUGACCGCGUUACAAAAGAAAAAGAUAAGGAGAAAUUAUAUUUUCUACAAAGUUUUUUGGAUGUAAUUGCCAAACAUAAAUCUUCAAAACAUUAUAAUCAUUCUCAGGAUUAUAAACUAUUCUCGGAAUUUACUCAGUCAAAUGUUGAUAUAUCAUACGUAUCAAAAAGUAUAAGCAUUAAAUUAUAUAGAAAAUAGCGUUUUAUAAUCAAAAGAGAACAAGAUCAAAAUAGAAAUUAAACAGAACGAUGCUAACAGAGUAUUAAUUAGCAGCUCAUUCUUGACCACAAAGGAUAGUGCUAGUUCUAUGACUGCUGAUACACCCAAAUUUAUUCACAGACUCUUCAUCUAGAUACACAAUCGCCUAUAAGAACAUCUAUACAUCUACAUUCUAUUUAUUUCGCCGCCAUUGCGGGCCAAGGAUUAAUUAACAGAUAUUCUUGCACCAGUAUUGAAUCUAAUACAUCAACAAUGUCUGAUGCGUCUCAAUCCAAUAUUUCCCAAGAGACCAUUAUUCAGGAGUUGACAGAAAAUGGAACAGCUGAGAAAAAGAGCUCACGUACGUUGAAUGUGACACAGGUCGCCUAGGUAUAAUAAGUUGCAAUCCCUCGGAAGUGAAAGACAUAUUACUUUAUUUCCUAUUAUUAUUAAAUGUUUGGAUGAUUAUCAAGUGAUUGCUUGGUAGCAGCAAUGCAAUGAUACAGAACUACUGAGCUUUUUCACAGUGAUUGAGAUAUUCUUUUUGCGAAUGAAGGCGAUUGUUGUUAUGCAAAAGUUUUCAAUAUUUAUUUAUCGUUUCUUUAAGUCGGUAAUGCUGUGCUUUGCGGUCGCUUAUGUUAUGAAUUACUACGUUGCUGUAAUAGUAAGCUAAGUUCCAUACGACAGGAGUCCUGUGUUUUAAUAUGUUUGCUCAUGCAAAGUAAUUUUAAGUUUACCAGUCGGAAAGGACUAGAGUGCAUUUGCAGAAUUGAAAGCUUUAAAAUCUAUUACAUGUUUGUAGGUGAUAAUUUUACUUUCUCAAAUGUUGAAGGAUAAUUAGGUAAGUUAAAAGGUAUAAUUAGUCUGAACAAUUCACGAUUUCAAGAAUCGCUAUCGUUAAUCAACAGCUAUGCCUCUUUUGAUAAAAUGAUGAAAAGUACAGGUUUUCCAGUUAAAGUGAAAGAUUUUAAUAAAAGAAUACAAUUUUAAUUCAAUUUUAAUUCAAUCAAGAAUAGAUAUAAGAAAUAUUAAUCUGAAGGUUUUUAGGUGUUCAAGAUGUUCAGUAUAACGAGUUUUUUAUUCGAACAAAGAAGUUUGUGCCGAUACAUUGGAGAAAACCGAGCAUUUCGAAUUGCUUUGAUACUUACAUUGUUUAAUAGUUCCUAUGUACGAAAAGAAAUUACGAAGCUUUAGCUAAUUAUUAUUCGCAUUUGACGCAAGCCUAUAAUAAAAUUAUAGAAAU